AAGCAGCAGGAUUUUCAGGAAUUGGUUCACUGCAGAACAUGAGGGACACUAUAGAGAGACAUGUCCAUAAAUCAAAGGACAUCCUGUUUGAAAAGGCUAAAGAUGAAAUGUUGGAUCUGCUUAGCAGUUUGAGGACCGAGAUCUUGGAGACUCUGGAGAGUACCAUGAAAGAAUCAAUUGAGCUCUCAUUCAAGAUAGACAAGGACUCAAUUCCAGACGUUUCAGAAGAACUUACCAGGGUUCAACAACUCCAUGAAGAGUUUCUGAAAAGCAGCUGAAAAUGCUUUCUUUGAUCGCAGAACGGUCAUCAUGACAUGUGGGAUCUAGGGUUGUUCGAGAUGAGGGAGCCUUCACUGAGGAUGAAUUGUUUGCCACAAUUGUUUUUGUCACGUUUGAUUUAGAGUGAUUUACAAUCAAUUUAAGUGUGAAAAAAUGUUUAAGAAAACGAAACUGAUAAAGAAAACAUUUUUUCCUGAUGAACAUAAAUUAGUAGUAGCCUUUUUCACAUUAGAUUCUGAUUGAAAAAUGUAAUGCUGAUGAAGUGAGGGGAAAAAACUUAUGUACUAUUAUUC
Cyprinodon variegatus (sheepshead minnow) is the source of this 572-nucleotide long non-coding RNA. RefSeq lists it as uncharacterized. The record is from RefSeq and is a predicted model, not a curated record. NCBI's taxonomy places the organism in Eukaryota, Metazoa, Chordata, Actinopteri, Cyprinodontiformes, Cyprinodontidae. The transcript has 4 exons.